GAUGCGCGGGAAGUGUUGGAAGAUCCAAGCCUGAAAAGUUUGGAACACACGAAUCAUCAGUAAUAGCAUUGUAAAGAUGAAAUGAAAAGGACAUAAGAACAUUAAAAGACCAAUAAACAUUAUCAUCGGUUGUGUGAUGCUUCAUGUGACCUCCUUCGUCUUCCACUUACAACCCUAUGAUAACUUUGAGUACAAGUAAACCAAAC
RNAcentral lists this long non-coding RNA (206 nucleotides) under Lathyrus oleraceus (garden pea). RNAcentral describes it as "Pisum sativum (pea) long non-coding RNA (PSAT_LNC013585)". The record is from RNAcentral. Lineage: Eukaryota; Viridiplantae; Streptophyta; Magnoliopsida; Fabales; Fabaceae.